AAGAAUUCAGCCAAAAGAGCUUGUGACAAGGAAGAGCCCCUUCAGGAUCAAGAACCAGGGACCGUCGCCCUGGCACGUGCCAGCACCGGGCUCUACGCUGAGCGCAGCGGCUGGCACUGAGCCGCGGAAGCCAGGACAGCGUGAUGGCCGUUCCCUCCCCCUCCUUGAGUGAUGCAGACCAAAGGGGCAGAGCGACUCCACCGUUAGCUCCCUGCCCCUACCACCGUCACCGCUGCUAUGCAGGAGUCUGGGCUGCUCCGCCUCUGAGGCUGCCAGAGCAGAUUAAGGGUGGUGCUAAGGGAAAGCCUCCCCAGAAUGCCUCCCCCGGUUUCCAAGGUUACAUGGAAGAGGCACUUCCUCUUCCUCCUCAGCCUCCUGGAGGAAGUUAGUUCCCUGUGAGCUGGUCUCUGGCCUUUGCCUGCAGCACCAGGAGCCUCAGAGCUCUGCCCUGGGUGGAGUGAGGCGUUUGAACACAGACUUCCUGGUACCAGAAAGCACCAUGCGAGAUUCCAGAGAUGGGAGACAACUCACAGUCCUUCCCAGCUCUGACACCUGUGAACCGCAUCAACCAGCAUGGCAUGACAACCCGGGUGCAGUUGUGGCAUGUGUGUGUACCUUGGACUAAAUUGGACUCAUUGGACUUAAGACCUGCUCAACAAGAGGGCAACCAUGCUUGAUACAGGAAACAAACCUAACUAUUCAGUGCUAGUGAGGUCAUGGUUAUUGGUAGAGAAUUUACAGCCACUAAUUUGCUAAACCAGCAUCAUCCCUAACAACAAUCUCUAAACAUUUGUCCUUAUGCCCACAGAUAAUUGUGGUCCUCACUGCUCAUCAAGGCAACUUUUCUUUGCAAUGUACGGAGACCACUACAGAAAAACACAAUCAAUCAAUAUGCAGAGUUGUAGAGGUCAGUCCCAAUGGAUGAGACUGAGAACAUGGGCAGAGAACAUGGGCAGAGAAGAGCCCAUGAGGCUUCAACCCCACAUAAAAAACUACAGAUAAGUGAAGCUACUAUCCCUCAUUUAAGACUCUUCUCUUUACAAAACAUGUGGAGACCAUCACAGAAACCACAACUGGACACAAUGCGGAAAUAAACCAGUGGGUCAAGGGGAGACCAGUACCAACGGAUACAUCUACAUCACAGCUGUGUCUCUGAACAGGUACCAAUAUGGAAGCGAGCUUGUGAAAGCUAAAAUACCAGGAAGUUUGCUCUGCAACAGUUUCUCCUAAAAAUGACUCUAUAAACAAGACCAGGACAACAGCAGUAUCAACGGACAUGUUGAUGUAGAACACCCCUAGACAAAGGACUACAGGCACCUAAUGACUGCUGAGAGGAGAAUUAGUUUCUCCCAGG
Peromyscus eremicus (cactus mouse) is the source of this 1354-nucleotide long non-coding RNA. RefSeq lists it as uncharacterized. The record is from RefSeq and is a predicted model, not a curated record. The transcript is spliced from 3 exons. Lineage: Eukaryota; Metazoa; Chordata; Mammalia; Rodentia; Cricetidae.